CGGAGCGGGCCUCGGGGAAACCCCUCUGC
RNAcentral lists this small RNA (29 nucleotides) under Bombyx mori (domestic silkworm). RNAcentral describes it as "ovarian small RNA-14455". Lineage: Eukaryota; Metazoa; Arthropoda; Insecta; Lepidoptera; Bombycidae. The record is from RNAcentral.